AAGCUUUAUGGUAGAUGAAAACCUAUUCCGCAUAGAAAAUCGAAUUCAGUAAACUAAUGAUGAUUAGGAAUGCAAAAAUGAGGUUGCAUUAUCAUGUAACACUAAAGCAAGAGGUGACACCACUAGUGUAGAUGGGGUGAGUUUGGGUUGCUUUAACAUUAUAUUUGAUGCUGGUGUUGCGAAAUCACUGUCCAAACUUUCGCACUGUUACUGCGAAAUCUAAUCUCGUGCAGCAUCAAAAGUUUAUAAACAAGGUAGAUGCAAGAGAAAAUCUAUUCAUCCAAUAAAAGUUGAAAUAGUAAGCAACAUCAAAGGUCAAAACAUUUUAUUAGCUUCAUAGAGAGAGAGAGAGAGAUUACUGAUAGCUUCACAAUGUAGGUAUUGUAAAAGCAAUGUAAAUAACCUCUAAAUAGUGUCCAAUGAAGGAGACAUGUGGACUACCUCAUUUGUUUCUGAGCCAGUU
RNAcentral lists this unclassified non-coding RNA (463 nucleotides) under Hevea brasiliensis (rubber tree). The record is from RNAcentral. Lineage: Eukaryota; Viridiplantae; Streptophyta; Magnoliopsida; Malpighiales; Euphorbiaceae.